GCCCGGGUGGUGGAACUGGCAGACACGGGGGGCUUAAACCCCCCUGAGGGAGACCUCAUGUGGGUUCGAACCCCACCCCGGGCACCA
RNAcentral lists this transfer RNA (87 nucleotides) under Actinomycetota bacterium. RNAcentral describes it as "Actinobacteria bacterium tRNA-Leu". It matches the Rfam family "tRNA". Rfam says of the family: Transfer RNA (tRNA) molecules are approximately 80 nucleotides in length. Their secondary structure includes four short double-helical elements and three loops (D, anti-codon, and T loops). The record is from RNAcentral. Lineage: Bacteria; Bacillati; Actinomycetota.